This 422-nucleotide ribosomal RNA is filed under the name uncultured bacterium. Its description in RNAcentral is "partial 16S ribosomal RNA". It matches the Rfam family "Bacterial small subunit ribosomal RNA", at positions 360 to 774 of the family's 1533-position model. The record is from RNAcentral.
AAUUUUGGACACUGGGGGAAACCCUGCUCCAGCCAUCCCGCGCGUAUGAUGAAGGCCUUCGGGUUGUAAAGUACUUUUGGCUGAGAAGAAAAGGUCUCUCCUAAUACGAGAUACUGCUGACGGUAUCUGCAGAAUAAGCACCGGCCAACUACGUGCCAGCAGCCGCGGUAAUACGUAGGGUGCAAGCGUUAAUCGGAUCUACUGGGCGUAAAGCGUGUGUAGGCGGUUCGGAAAGAAAGAUGUGAAAUCCCAGGGCUCAACCUUGGAACGGCAUUUUUAACUGCCGAGCUAGAGUAUGUCAGAGGGGGGUAGAAUUCCACGUGUAGCAGUGAAAUGCGUAGAUAUGUGGAGGAACACCGAUGGCGAAGGCAGCCCCCUGGAAUAAUACUGACGCUCAGACACGAAAGCGUGGGGAGCAAACA